UACGUAGGUGGCAAGCGUUGUCCGGAUUUACUGGGCGUAAAGGGAGCGUAGGCGGAUACUUAAGUGGGAUGUGAAAUACCUGGGCUUAACUUGGGUGCUGCAUUCCAAACUGGGUGUCUAGAGUGUUGGAGAGGAAAGUGGAAUUCCUAGUGUAGCGGUGAAAUGCGUAGAGAUUAGGAAGAACACCAGUGGCGAAGGCGACUUUCUGGACAAUAACUGACGCUGAGGCUCGAAAGCGUGGGGAGCAAACAGGAUUAGAUACCCUGGUAGUCCACGCCGUAAACGAUGGGUACUAGGUGUAGGAAGUAUCGACUCCUCCUGUGCCGCCGUUAACACAAUAAGUACCCCGCCUGGGGAGUACGGUCGCAAGAUUAAA
This 376-nucleotide ribosomal RNA is filed under the name uncultured bacterium. RNAcentral describes it as "bacterial SSU rRNA". It matches the Rfam family "Bacterial small subunit ribosomal RNA", at positions 524 to 898 of the family's 1533-position model. The record is from RNAcentral.